GACGAACGCUGGCGGCGUGCUUAACACAUGCAAGUCGAACGGAAAGGCCCUGCUUUUGUGGGGUGCUCGAGUGGCGAACGGGUGAGUAACACGUGAGUAACCUGCCCUUGACUUUGGGAUAACUUCAGGAAACUGGGGCUCAUACCGGAUAGGAGCUCCUGCUGCAUGGUGGGGGUUGGAAAGUUUCGGCGGUUGGGGCUGGACUCGCGGCUUAUGAGCUUGUUGGUGGGGUAGUGGCUUACCAAGGCUUUGACGGAUAGCCGGCCUGAGAGGGUGACCGGCCACAUUGGGACUGAGAUAGGGCCCAGACGCGUACGGGAGGCAGCAGUGGGGAAUAUUGCACAAUGGGCGGAAGCCUGAUGCAGCAACGCCGCGUGCGGGAUGACGGCCUUCGGGUUGUAAACCGCUUUCGCCUGUGACGAAGCGUGAGUGACGGUAAUGGGUAAAGAAGCACCGGCUAACUACGUG
This 468-nucleotide ribosomal RNA is filed under the name uncultured bacterium. Its description in RNAcentral is "partial 16S ribosomal RNA". It matches the Rfam family "Bacterial small subunit ribosomal RNA", at positions 28 to 507 of the family's 1533-position model. The record is from RNAcentral.